AUGCUUACCUGGCAGGGGAGAUACCAUGAUCAUGAAGGUGAUUUUCACACAUGAAGCUUAUCCAUUGCACUCAGGAGGUGCUGACCUCUGUGAUUUCCCCAAAUGUGGUAAACUCAACUGCACGAUUUGUGAUAGUUGGGGAACUUCCUCCUG
Tupaia belangeri (northern tree shrew) is the source of this 153-nucleotide small nuclear RNA. Its record names the gene U1. It matches the Rfam family "U1 spliceosomal RNA". Rfam says of the family: U1 is a small nuclear RNA (snRNA) component of the spliceosome (involved in pre-mRNA splicing). Its 5' end forms complementary base pairs with the 5' splice junction, thus defining the 5' donor site of an intron. NCBI's taxonomy places the organism in Eukaryota, Metazoa, Chordata, Mammalia, Scandentia, Tupaiidae. The record is from Ensembl.